This 450-nucleotide ribosomal RNA is filed under the name uncultured bacterium. RNAcentral's name for it is "partial 16S ribosomal RNA". It matches the Rfam family "Bacterial small subunit ribosomal RNA", at positions 354 to 796 of the family's 1533-position model. The record is from RNAcentral.
GUGGGGAAUAUUGGACAAUGGGCGAAAGCCUGAUCCAGCCAUGCCGCGUGUGUGAAGAAGGUCUUCGGAUUGUAAAGCACUUUAAGUUGGGAGGAAGGGCAGUAAGUUAAUACCUUGCUGUUUUGACGUUACCGACAGAAUAAGCACCGGCUAACUUCGUGCCAGCAGCCGCGGUAAUACGAAGGGUGCAAGCGUUAAUCGGAAUUACUGGGCGUAAAGCGCGCGUAGGUGGUUUUGUAAGGUGGAGGUGAAAUCCCCGGGCUCAACCUGGGAACUGCCUCCAAAACUGCAUGACUAGAGUACGGUAGAGGGUAGUGGAAUUUCCUGUGUAGCGGUGAAAUGCGUAGAUAUAGGAAGGAACACCAGUGGCGAAGGCGACUACCUGGACUGAUACUGACACUGAGGUGCGAAAGCGUGGGGAGCAAACAGGAUUAGAUACCCCAGUAGUCC